Molecule: long non-coding RNA, 1868 nt
Organism: Epinephelus fuscoguttatus (brown-marbled grouper)
Lineage: Eukaryota; Metazoa; Chordata; Actinopteri; Perciformes; Serranidae
Exons: 3
Source: RefSeq, a predicted model, not a curated record
GUUGGGGGUAGUUAACUGGUAACCAUUGAGCUAACUUCCUAGUUGUGUGAAAACAGGUUACAUUGUCAGCUUAUGACAUUUUUAGCCAUGCAUUAUAAAGCUGAAUGGUUCUAAGGUGUCCCCCUGAUACUGAGAGGACAGUUUCUGUGGGUGCAGGACAUUUUGACGUGACCACAAAAAAGCUCACGAUGGAAAAGGAAAAAAAGUCAACUUGUAGUGUCAUGUUCUUCACCGGACCUGUCAACCUGCUUCGACAGAACAUCUCCCCCAUAGCCUCAUGAUCCUCUCGUGGCUGAACAGUGAAGAGCAGGGGAUUGGUGAUCUAUAAUUAACUGGUGGGUCGGUGUUGAUGUCAUUGACACAGCGUGGAGGUAGAAGGUGGCAUUGCCAAGGCACCUGUUGUUGUGGAGUGUGGCAUCUGAUAUCAUUACCUACCCAGCCGGAGCGCCAAUGUCCCCGCUGGGUCGCGAACUGUCCAAGCUACCGACCACGCUCACCUUUCACACACACACACACAUACACGCACAGACUUGCACACGCAUCAUCCUCUGUCAUCAUGUCCUCCUUUACAUAACUGACUCUGACGGCUCUAACACCUAGAGGGCAGAGAUCCACAGAGAGUUUCAAUUAUUGUUAAUGAUAUUUUGAUGGUAGCUGGUUAACUUAUGUAUCCGUCAGGAUGCAGCUGUACAAAUAUGUGAUGGUGAAAUCUUCAAAAUCUACAAGAUGUGGAUAUAUAGCCCAAAGGGUUUAAAGGAACAGUCCAAUAUUUUGGGAAUACUUGCGAUCAGGCCCACAGUCUAAUGAGAAUGAGACCAUGUCUUUGAUGCCGGCCCCUCCGCUCCACUCAUCACAAGCUGGACAGCUCUGUGCUCACCUUGCUGUCUUGAAGGACAGUCUAUACUUUAGAAGUACAAGAGAGAGAAAGAAAGUUGGAGGCAGGUGUGCUCAAGUUGAAGCACUUCUCUGACUAACUUGGAAAAAUGCAUUGCACUGACAAGAGUGUGCAUGGAGGGAAGACUCAUCUCGCACUCAAAUAUCUCCGUGGGGAAUGGAAAGAUGGCAGAGAUGCAUGCCGAGGCCACUCCUUUUAUCCGGGCCUCGGAAAGAGAAACAUUGGCACCGUUGUCAGGAAAAAUGUGACAUUUCCUGCACUGUGAUACCUCACAUCUUCAAAUUGAUGCCUUGUCUGGAAUAGACAGAAGGAGGUGUAAUGAAUGUGCUUCGGUGACACAAAGACAUGCCACCAGGACAUUGUGGGAUCUCAGCUCUGGAGCGUCCUGACUGGUUUGCUUUUUAAAGCGCAGAGGGCCAGCUGUUUAUGUUAUUCAAAUUUAGAGAGGUUGGAGAAAAUGUGCGUCCAUCUACUGUUGCGGGGGAUAAUAAUUUGGGCGAAAGCAUCCAUUUCUGAAACCGCUCUUUAUGCUAUUUUUGUCAAUCAGACUACAUUGAAAAGUAUUUUCCAUGACACUGCUUGAAUUCCUCUUUAUAUACAGCUGAAACUUGGACAAAAGAUUCAAAUGAUUGUCAUUUUCUUCAGUAUUCACGCUGUCAUCUCCACAUAUCGUCUGAAUCAUCUGAAUCAUUCCUCCUUUAUGUGAAAUCUUCCACUGGUAGGGGACCGCGUUACUGUAUGUGUGGCGUACAGACAGACUCAUGGGAGGUCAUGGGAGUUCUGAGCUGACAAUCAAGAGACCAGCUGUCACUCAUAGCCCCAUCACAAGCCGCGCCACGUCGAGUCUUGUGACGACCACAUGACUACAAUGGCACAUUUCUCUUCUGUCUUUUGGCAGGUACGUAUCAGCAUGAUGGAUUGGCAUUACAGGAAAUCUUUCAUCAAGACCCAAAUAUCCUUUGUAAUCACCCUC